GACGAACGCUGGCGGCGUGCCUAAUACAUGCAAGUCGAGCGGACUAAUGGGAGCUUGCUCCCGUUAGUUAGCGGCGGACGGGUGAGUAACACGUGGGCAACCUACCUGUAAGACUGGGAUAACUUCGGGAAACCGGAGCUAAUACCGGAUGACAUAAAGGAACUCCUGUUCCUUUAUUGAAAGAUGGCUUCGGCUAUCACUUACAGAUGGGCCCGCGGCGCAUUAGCUAGUUGGUGAGGUAACGGCUCACCAAGGCGACGAUGCGUAGCCGACCUGAGAGGGUGAUCGGCCACACUGGGACUGAGACACGGCCCAGACUCCUACGGGAGGCAGCAGUAGGGAAUCUUCCGCAAUGGACGAAAGUCGGACGGAGCAACGCCGCGUGAGCGAUGAAGGCCUUCGGGUCGUAAAGCUCUGUUGUUAGGGAAGAAUAAGUGCUAGUUGAAUAAGCUGGCACCUUGACGGUACCUAACCAGAAAGCCACGGCUAACUACGUGCCAGCCGCCGCCGUAA
This 513-nucleotide ribosomal RNA is filed under the name uncultured bacterium. Its description in RNAcentral is "partial 16S ribosomal RNA". It matches the Rfam family "Bacterial small subunit ribosomal RNA", at positions 28 to 523 of the family's 1533-position model. The record is from RNAcentral.